AUUGAACGCUGGCGGCAUGCCUUACACAUGCAAGUCGAACGGCAGCAUGGAGAGCUUGCUCUCUGAUGGCGAGUGGCGAACGGGUGAGUAAUGCAUCGGAACGUACCGUGUAAUGGGGGAUAACGUAGCGAAAGUUACGCCAAUACCGCAUACGACCUGAGGGUGAAAGCAGGGGAUCGCAAGACCUUGCGUUAUACGAGCGGCCGAUGUCAGAUUAGCUAGUUGGUGAGGUAAAGGCUCACCAAGGCGACGAUCUGUAGCGGGUCUGAGAGGAUGAUCUGCCACACUGGGACUGGGACACGGCCCAGACUCCUACGGGAGGCAGCAGUGGGGAAUUUUGGACAAUGGGGGCAACCCUGAUCCAGCCAUGCCGCGUGAGUGAAGAAGGCCUUCGGGUUGUAAAGCUCUUUCGGCCGGGAAGGAAUCGCACAGGCUAAUACUCUGUGUGGAUGACGGUACCGGCAUAAGAAGCACCGGCUAACUACGUGCCAGCCGCCGCGGUAA
RNAcentral lists this ribosomal RNA (504 nucleotides) under uncultured bacterium. RNAcentral's name for it is "partial 16S ribosomal RNA". It matches the Rfam family "Bacterial small subunit ribosomal RNA", at positions 30 to 523 of the family's 1533-position model. The record is from RNAcentral.